Camellia sinensis is the source of this 282-nucleotide non-coding RNA. NCBI's taxonomy places the organism in Eukaryota, Viridiplantae, Streptophyta, Magnoliopsida, Ericales, Theaceae. The record is from RefSeq and is a predicted model, not a curated record.
GAUGGUUUAGUUUGUAGUCCUUUCACAAUAGUUUAUUUGUGGGGAAAAAAUGAAAUUAUAAUUUCAUCUAACAAUUAUUCUCUAUUUAUGCAUAUCAUAUGAUAAAUCAUAUUUGAAAAUCACUCUUCCAAUGUUUGAUUGCAGUGAAUUUUUAGACCCUGUUGUUGCUGCUACAUUGGACUUUCGAAAUCUUAACAAGAGAAAAUUUCUAACUAAUUUCUCUACAUUACUCCCUUAGUUUUUCCCAUUAAUGCUAAAGCUCAUGAAAUGUAGAGAAGUAAG